GGCCGCCUGGCGAAAUGGCAUCGCGUCUGACUACGAGCGUUUAGAUUGCAAGUUCGAUCCUUGCGGUGGUCG
Molecule: non-coding RNA, 72 nt
Organism: Hymenopellis radicata
Lineage: Eukaryota; Fungi; Basidiomycota; Agaricomycetes; Agaricales; Physalacriaceae
Source: the annotation of a GenBank genome assembly